CAACUUUCAGCAACGGAUCUCNUUGGCUCUCGCAUCGAUGAAGAACGCAGCGAAAUGCGAUAAGUAAUGUGAAUUGCAGAAUUCAGUGAAUCAUCGAAUCUUUGAACGCACCUUGCGCUCCUUGGUAUUCCGAGGAGCAUGCCUGUUUGAGUGUC
This 155-nucleotide ribosomal RNA is filed under the name uncultured Cortinariaceae. Its description in RNAcentral is "5.8S ribosomal RNA". It matches the Rfam family "5.8S ribosomal RNA". Rfam says of the family: 5.8S ribosomal RNA (5.8S rRNA) is a component of the large subunit of the eukaryotic ribosome. It is transcribed by RNA polymerase I as part of the 45S precursor that also contains 18S and 28S rRNA. The record is from RNAcentral. Lineage: Eukaryota; Fungi; Basidiomycota; Agaricomycetes; Agaricales; Cortinariaceae.